AGGACGAACGCUGGCGGCGUGCUUAACACAUGCAAGUCGAGCGGUAAGGCCUUUCGGGGUACACGAGCGGCGAACGGGUGAGUAACACGUGGGUGAUCUGCCCUGCACUCUGGGAUAAGCCUGGGAAACUGGGUCUAAUACCGGAUAUGACCUGCUCUCGCAUGGGGGUGGUGGAAAGAUUUAUCGGUGCAGGAGUGGGCCCGCGGCCUAUCAGCUUGUUGGUGGGUAAUGGCCUACCAAGGCGACGACGGGUAGCCGACCUGAGGAGGGUGACCGGCCACACGUGGGACUGAGACACGGCCCAGACUCCGUACGGGAGGCAGCAGUGGGAAUAUGCACGAAGUGGGCGAAAGCCUAGAUGCAGCGACGCCGCGUGAGG
RNAcentral lists this ribosomal RNA (379 nucleotides) under uncultured soil bacterium. RNAcentral's name for it is "bacterial SSU rRNA". It matches the Rfam family "Bacterial small subunit ribosomal RNA", at positions 26 to 406 of the family's 1533-position model. The record is from RNAcentral.